AGCAAAAAUGUGCUAAAUGAUACCCAUCCUCUCCUCACAUUACUGUACUUGCACUUACCAUCCUCAUCUUCGCCAUAGAGGUGGUUAAGAGGGUGACGUACACAGCAUCUAGCACGAAUCCAAUAAGCAGCUAUCAAGUCUCAAGAUAUGACAUAAUUUGAUAGAAUGUUAGUACCAACGCUAUCAGUGCAUUGAAGUCGAGUUCUCGAUGCAGGGAGCUGCUGGUAAACUACCGUCGCUAUACAUCGACUAUGACUACAAUCCUACUUUUAAAAACAAACUACAUACAUAUCUCACAUUUGCGAGGACUACUUCAUCACAAGCAAAAAAUCGACAUUGGUAAAUAAAGGUCUGUCUUCUAUAACCACGAUGAAAAGAAAAGCUGGGCGAAAACAUUUGAGACUGCAGAUUGCAGAACUGGAACACUCUAUUUGAAGACAGUGGCUGCUGAGUGCUGAGCUGCAUCAAAUCUAUCAGCAUCAUGUAACUUCGAUCAGGAACAGACUCCAUUUCAUUUCCGACAACUAGCACCUGUUUUCCCUAGACUUACCAAGUAUUAAGUAACUGCAUUAGUAUUAGGUUAAAUUAAAGGCCCUACAUCGAACAAGUCUAACAAUUAAAACUUAAAUGCAAGAGUGCACAAUUUAUCACUAAAUAUCUUCCUCUUUUAAUUCUAAUCAACACACGGUUUCGUCUUUGUUUCACCCAAUCGUGCUGAUAAUCAGUAAUCAUGCACUCUGCACUCUAACUUCGAGAUGUUUCAAAAGGGCUCCCGACGAGUUGAAUUAGAUCAAUAUUUUCUUUUGAUACAUAGAUACUGAUUGGGAGGUUCAUCAUACUAUUCUUGUCACAUGGUAACGAUUAACGAUUAGCUGAUCAGCUUCCAGCAUCGACAGGCCGAAAUCCAUAAAUAUAAUCAGUUGUAAUUUAAUAUUUAUCAUCGUCCGGAUCAUCAUAAUAUUUUAAUUUAAAGUUACAAUUGAACGGUGUUAAGAAAGAUAAUUUAAGAGAAAUGUUUUGAAAGUGCCUGAUUUCGAGUAUAAGAUCUGUACUGAUACAUUAAUUUUCAGAUUGUUAUUAUAGUUUAUUUGUAUUUUUUAUAUUAUCUUAUCCGCACAAGUUCGGAAGCCAUCUGAACGCUAUUGCCAGACACAGGCAUAUAUUUAUUUUGGGGUAUCAUGCUCUCAGAAAUUUCAACUCAGUCCGAUAUUAUAGUUAUACUAACCUGCAUUGCAUAAGGUUAAUUGUCUCGCAGUCUAGUGCAUAAACCUUUUAUUUUGUAUAAACCCUUUAUUUUGAUUGGGAAAACUUUAGUUUAAUGUGGUUACCGUCUCUAAAGUUGGCAUGAUAGUUAAUAAACUCUUAUCUAUUAUGUCACUGAAGAUGACGCCUUGCAACAUGUUUGACGAUAGCCUGUAGAUUGAUAGUUUGAUCUAAGUAUUUACAACAAUUCAUCUAGUUUGAUUGAUUCAAAGGGAAACAAAUUCCUCUCUUAUCUAUUAUGACUAUAUUUAAAUUCAAUCCUGUAAAGUGAUACUCCUUUUUUAGUAAUUUAAA
Long non-coding RNA from Bolinopsis microptera, 1557 nucleotides. RefSeq lists it as uncharacterized. The transcript is spliced from 4 exons. The record is from RefSeq and is a predicted model, not a curated record. NCBI's taxonomy places the organism in Eukaryota, Metazoa, Ctenophora, Tentaculata, Lobata, Bolinopsidae.